ACGAAUUUUCUUUCAUACUAUGUGAAGUCAAAUAUAUUGUUCUCAUUAAAUACUUUUGCUAUCAUCAAAACUCUAAGUAUAAAACCAACUUGGUUCCAACAAAAUUUACAUCCCAAAGGAAGAGGAAAUCUACAGUCAAAAGGUACAAAUGGACAUAUCAUACAUGGACAUAUCAAAUAUGGACUACAAGACCAUACUUACUAACACAUUCCAACUAUCUCUAGUUGAACGUAAGUGGUAAGAAAAGUCAUAAAAAGAUUCGACAAACCGAGGGAGCCAACCUGUUCAAUACCUCGACUAUAGCUUUCUAAACGUCUCUAGGGAACACAUAUUAGCCGAGUGCGCCUAACGCAAAAUUUAGAGAAAGGGGAAUCCAAUUCCCUUGAUAGGUCAUUCUAAGGUAAGGGGUCAACAAAAGCAAGUAUUGUUGCUUCCACAAGUGCAAUGGGCAUAACAUGAUUAGAAAUUAUCCAAUAUCAGUUCUAAUCGAGAGAAAACUAGAGGACAUGACAUCUAAAAACCUGCACAACAUCACGAUUAGCAAGGAGGGGUCUUGACUCCCUUUAUAUUUUUACGAUAAAUAAAUCAUUGGGGGGAUACUAAACUCCCAAAUCCUACUGCUUGUACAAGUAUGUAUGGCCAAGAAGUUUGCAGGGUCCUAAUCGACCAAGGGAGUUCAUGCGACAUCUUGUACUCGGGGUUGUUCGACACACUCCAUCUCACCAAAGAAAAUAGGCUACCAUAUGUAGGACCCGGUUUACAAAGCUUAUGUCAAGUUACUUGUAACUUUCGGAGAAGACAAAUCUAGGAAGAUCGUCAAGACCCAAUUCUUAGUUAUCGAUUGCAAGUCGAUCUGCAACUACAUUAUCGGUCAUCCAACCAUGGCAAAGUUAGGUGCGAUCUCUUCCAUUAUCCCUUUUAAGCUCAAGUACCACCAGAAAUAUAGAAAGGGAGUGAUUGUGGAAGCUGACAUCAAAGCAACGAGAAGAUAUUUCAUAGCCAACCGCAAAAGUUGGGAAAAAUGCACGAAAUUUGCAUAGUCAGACAAAAAGGGAAGCCAAGUCCUCACUGUUACCAAUCAACGAGACUGACAGGUUGCAGAUAGAAGACGAUGUCGCGUCUAUUCGCAAGCCAAUUAAAAGGCCAAUACCGGCUGAAGAAUUUACCUUGAUCCCGAUAUGAGACAUCUCAGGAAGAACCAUAAGAGUAUGCCGACAUCUUCGCAUCGACUGCUAACAAGAUGCUCGACAUAGAUCUUGAAGUUGCUUGUCACAAGCUAACUGUGCACCCAUAUGCUUGAUCAAUUGUCCAACACCGUCGCAAACAAACUUUAGAGAAGGCUGAAGCCGCUAAAAAGGUUGUUUCUAACUUACUCGCUGCAAAUUUUAUUUCUGAUGCUAAGUAUACCGCUAUGCUCUCCAAUGUUGUACUCAUUAAAAAAAAUAUAAUAAUAAAUGACAUGUUUAUGUUGACUAUAGUGAUCUCAAUAAAGUGUGUCCCAAAGAUGUGUAUCCGCUUCCCAAUAUUGAUACCUUAGUCGACAAGUCAUCUAGGUUCAAAUUACUUUUGUUUAUGGAUGCUUAUUCAGGAGACAAGAAGAAGAUGAGUUCGACAUUCAAAUCCUCCAUUCAACCGCAGUUUCAAAAGUGAAAAGGUAAAAGAGAGAACCACUGUACCACUAAACAAAGAGCAUAACAUAGCAACAGAGCGUUGCUGGUAGCCACUACAACGUGAAUUUAGAAUCCUCGAACUUACGAUUGCUCCUAAUAUAAUGAUACACUUCCUCAAAUAAUCCACAAUCGAAAUAGGAAUACAACACUCACCAAGAAACGUCACAAUCGUGGAGGAACAACUCACCACCGUAGGACCACAACAACCACCACGGUAGCCAUGAACGACCACAAAAUAGAAAAACUCAAAAAAGCAGGAAAUAAGGUAAAGAAAAAUGGUAAGACGACUUACUGAGUUGUAAUAGAGCUAAAAGGUUAUAAAGAUAAUGAAAGUAGGCGACUGUCGCGGCCUAAAAUUUCGAGUUUUCAUCGAAUUCAAUGGAGUCGCCACCAAAAUUUAUUUUAAAAUAGGGAAAAUAUUGGAAAACCCUUAAAAAUGUAAAAAUGGUCUUUGAAACCAGAUUUUGAGUUCGGGAGUCGAUUAUGGGUAGGGAAGGUAUUAGCACCCUACGACAUCCGUUAAAAUACGGUUACCUUUAAUUAAUUGUGUAAAAUUAUAUCAACUUAAAUAUAUUUAUUUUUCUUUAUUAUUAAAUAUGAAUAUAAAUUGUUUUUUAUAAAUGUGAUUUUUUGAGAUAAAAGUGUGUUAAAAAAGAGUGGAAAAAAAGAAAGUUUUUAUUAGUGUGCUUGACAAGAGUGUGAUCUUGCUCCUACGUAUCUCCCUGUGCGAUGGAGAAAUCAAAGCUACGUAGUUCUUGGAAGAAAAUGUGGAUGUGUUGAUUGCUUUUAAAUAAAUUGUAUUUUUUGUUAUUUUCUUUUAAAACAAAUUAAUUUUGACAAGCAUAAAGAAAUAAACUUGCCCGAUUUGAAUAAUUAUCUUAAAAUAUGAAUUUUAAGACGAUCGAAUUGUACAACUCGUGUCUCAAAAU
Molecule: long non-coding RNA, 2599 nt
Filed under: Cicer arietinum (chickpea)
Lineage: Eukaryota; Viridiplantae; Streptophyta; Magnoliopsida; Fabales; Fabaceae
Description: long non-coding RNA (CARI_LNC000707)
Source: RNAcentral